UAAGAGUAAUUAAUAAUAUUAUUUAUUUACAAUAAAUAAGGCCCGUUAAUAUUCGGGACUUUUAA
RNAcentral lists this transfer RNA (65 nucleotides) under Ammothea clausi. Its description in RNAcentral is "tRNA-Val". Lineage: Eukaryota; Metazoa; Arthropoda; Pycnogonida; Pantopoda; Ammotheidae. The record is from RNAcentral.